GACGAACGCUGGCGGCGUGCUUAACACAUGCAAGUCGAGCGAUGAAACUUCUUCGGAAGUGGAUUAGCGGCGGACGGGUGAGUAACACGUGGGCAACCUGCCUCAUAGUGGGGAAUAGCCUCUCGAAAGGGAGAUUAAUACCGCAUAAGAUUGUAGUUCCGCAUGGAACAGCAAUUAAAGGAUUUAUUCGCUAUGAGAUGGGCCCGCGGCGCAUUAGCUAGUUGGUGAGGUAACGGCUCACCAAGGCGACGAUGCGUAGCCGACCCGAGAGGGUGAUCGGCCACAUUGGGACUGAGACACGGCCCAGACUCCUACGGGAGGCAGCAGUGGGGAAUAUUGCACAAUGGGGGAAACCCCGAUGCAGCAACGCCGCGUGAGUGAUGACGGUCUUCGGAUUGUAAAGCUCUGUCUUUAGGGACGAUAAUGACGGUACCUAAGGAGGAAGCCACGGCUAACUACGUGCCAGCAGCCGCCGCAG
This 478-nucleotide ribosomal RNA is filed under the name uncultured bacterium. RNAcentral describes it as "partial 16S ribosomal RNA". It matches the Rfam family "Bacterial small subunit ribosomal RNA", at positions 28 to 523 of the family's 1533-position model. The record is from RNAcentral.